Molecule: ribosomal RNA, 480 nt
Filed under: uncultured bacterium
Lineage: Bacteria
Description: partial 16S ribosomal RNA
Rfam family: Bacterial small subunit ribosomal RNA
Source: RNAcentral
GACGAACGCUGGCGGCGUGCUUAACACAUGCAAGUCGAGCGAUGAAGCACCUUCGGGUGUGGAUUAGCGGCGAACGGGUGAGGAACACGUGAGGAAUCUGCCUUUCACUUCGGGAUAACUCCGGGAAACCGGGGCUAAUACCGGAUAUUUUCAACUGGCGGCAUCGCCGGUUGAAGAAAGUUUUUCGGUGAAAGAUGACCUCGCGGCCUAUCAGCUUGUUGGUGAGGUAAUGGCUCACCAAGGCGACGACGGGUAGCCGGCCCGAGGGGGCGACCGGCCACACUGGGACUGAGACACGGCCCAGACUCCUACGGGAGGCAGCAGUGGGGAAUAUUGGGCAAUGGAGGAAACUCUGACUCAGCGACGCCGCGUGAGGGAUGAAGGCCUUCGGGUUGUAAACCUCUUUCAGCAGGGAAUAAGCGAAAGUGAAGGUACCUGCAGAAGAAGCACCGGCUAACUAUGUGCCAGCCGCCGCAGUAA